AGACGAGGCGCUUGGAUAUUGCCUACCGCGACCAAAUGGACCCAUGGACUCAUUAGAUGAUGAGUCUGGACCCUGGUGUGUGUAAAGCCCACCUCAGCUCGAUCCAUAUUCGAUCGAUACUACAAAGAAGGUGGAUAUGAGGUAAAGGUAGAGUAAGCUCCAAGUCAUGUGGAGGUCAGUCGAGAUUGAACACACGUUCAUAGAAUCAUAGUAUCAAAUUCAAGUCCAAAUUUUAACACUACGAAACCGAAAAGCAUUGUUUCAGUCCAACAACCCAAACUUCCUUAAAAAAACUAAGACAAAAACGACGACACUAGGAAACGGAAAAACAUGCAACUCAGAAAACCAUUACUCUAGUCCAAAUGAGGUUCCUCAAUGCCUCAAGCUUUUAUAAAACACCAUAGCCUGAACCUUUUCCUUUGCGCCUUCUUUGCUUCACCAGAAACGUUCUUAAUGAGCUCCUCUUCAAAUUUGGGACGAGCAGGCAUUAGGCUGUGCACAAUGCUGUAAACGCCCCUAGCCCUUGCCACACCCUAGGUGCGUACGCGUGCAUGUCCGACCUGAGUUAUCUUAUUACGCGCGCAGUUUGAUCUUCCCGUAUUGACAUCCCUGCUGUCUAUUCUCCUGCGAAUCCUUCUGCUGGUGACUUCAUCCGAGUCCAUUUUCUUGCUCCUCAGUGCAUGUUCAUCUGCUUUUCCCUGUUAAUAAAUAUAGGAAUCCCAUAACAAACAGCAUUUGACAAAACAGAACGUAAUAAUAACAACAAAACUUGACUCCAUCCUCAGUGCAUGUUCAUCUGCUUUUCCACUUCAAAGCAGCUGACGGCACGAUUCGUACUUGGACUCCAAAAUGUCUAGAUUAUGGAGAAACCAGCCUUCUAUCCAAAACACACAAAGAAGUGUAUUUUCCGUUUAUACCAAUUAAGUGUGUUGAAGCAUGUCCCACAUGGCCACAUAGGAAACUUGUUGAGGUUUAAAUCCUCUUAUAUAGAAAGUUCGACUACUAAUUGCCUUGAGGCCUUAAUUCUGUAUAAAACCAUACCUAUUGAAUUGCACACGUGCUUAAGUUAAGGUCAGUAUUGAUGGUAAUUAGUAGUGGGCUGCUGGGCCGUCUUAAAAAAACUGGUACAAAGGGCAAUUUAUAGAAGCAGUGUUGAGAUAAGGGCAAUUCAUCUGUUCUUUUUAGAAGGAUAUAUAUGAAUGAAGCAAGGUUUAUCUGCUAAUGCGGCUCAGCCCUUUAUCAAAAAGUGAAAGAUCAAAAUUACUUUUACAGCAAGAGCAAUACCAGAAGAUGUAAUCUAAAUUAUUUAUAUUUGGUUCCCUUGAAAUCCUUUUGACUGCUUCAACAUACUAUAUGCAGACAGAACCAGAACCAAGUCCAGACUCACUCGUAAUAGGUCUCCUCAUCCACAACAAUAUCCCAGCUUUCCCUUGUCGUGGUUUUCCCAUAUUUGUGCACCUUACUGCAAAGAGAGAGCAAGUUAACUUGUCAAAGAAAAACCAGAACAAUAGAUGCCAAUGCAGUUCAAAAAGUUUAUUUCCCUUCAUACCCAUUUCCGAAGUGCUCUUCUCCCCAUGUCCUUGACCAACCUAGACAUGAGAGAACAAAAACAGAGUUACAUCAGAUUAAAUUAUUGAAAGAAAAAGGUUCACUUCUGUUGUAACAAAUCGACAUUAGAAUCAAGCAACCACGCUAUGAAAUACAAAUUUAAAAUGUAACAAUUUACUGUGUCUAAAAGGAAUCUUGAAAUAAAAUAGUUAAACCCUAAACAGCACCACUGCAAAUAGCAUAAGAAAAUUAAAAUUAACCCUAAAGAAAUUGGGAGAGAAGAAUAUGAAAAGGGAAUACCUUUCGGCCCCUUUGAGUUAUUGGAAAAAACCCAACAGAGCAAAAGAUAAACAAAAAUACAGGCGGAAAGAAAAUAAAUUUUCAACUUGUAAGAUUCAUACGCGAACAGAUUGGUGGUCAAAAGCAUUUCGGAAUUCAGAGCCAUCAAGCUUUUUGAUCUGCAUGGAAAUUAUUUAUGAAGUUUGAGAUUCUUAUAGACGCUUUAGACACAUCGACAUAUUGAGAAAGCAAUAUUCAACAACCUAGUACCCAUGCUCCAUAGAAGGUUGAGAAAAUAUGAAUGUCUGGACUCUGGAGUGAGAAAGUAAAAGGACUUACCGCAUACUUCAUAUCUUCUAACUUUGUGUAGUCUACAAUCCCUGUUGUGCCUACAAAAAAGGCAUAGGACAAAAGCUAAAUCAAUCGAAAUUCUGAUGUCAUGAUCUAGGUCUUAGGAUUAAACUAUUGAAAUAACACUAUAUGAAAUAGCAGUGUAUAUCCCAAAAAAAGUAUGAAAUCUGGUUGAUAAUUGCAGAGUUCGAAGGGAUUUACCUUUGGAUUCUUCGGCUUUCAGAUGGAGUUUGCUUAUGUAUGGGAGAGAGAGGUGGAGCGGCUAGGGUUUGAGUAUGGAAGAGAUGAAAAAUGGAGAGAACACCUGUUUUGGCUGCAGCAACUCACACACUCCGGACAAAUCUGCAAAUGUCUAAAGGGGGGAAAAUAUAAAAAGAAACCUUAACAACUGAAUUCAAAGAAACAUUAUUACAUUGUAAAUAGCAUUUCACAAAAAAAAUAAAAUAAAAUAAAAUAUACUAAACUAAACUAAUUACACUCGGAUUGCAAUGCUAUCAUUUAAUAAUAGGAAUUCCCAUAACUUAGCAGAAGAUCCUGCAUCUGCAAAGGAUCCUUUAAAACCUAUUUUUUUUAACAACCCCACACCUGCAACACAUCCAGUCAAGGUAAACCAAUAGCACCCUCAUGCAGAGCUCUUCUGUGCAUAUAUACCCCUUAUAAGUAAUCUUAAUCAAUCAGUUAUCAUGAAUAUACAACUUAUAUUAAUUUUCUACAAUAUCCAACACACAAAUAUAACAGAAGAGGAAACUUUUACUUAAGCAGCACAAAAUGAUAUCCUCUGCAUUUCAUUCCAAAAUCCAUCACUCUUAUGUCUUUGCCUGCACAGUUUUUGCUCCAACAUAGCCUGCAAUGAUGAUAUAGCACUAUCAAUAAUUAAGACAUAAAGAAAGGCUAUCCUAGCUAGGUAUUAUGAUUGGAGUAAACCAACAACACCAUAAGUAAAGUAGCAGACCAAAUUUUUUUUAGAAUUGAUGUCUUAACAUGUUUAAGUAGCAAAAAGAUUACAACACAUUGGAUGUGUUAACACGUCCAUAAGCUGAUGACUCCCUCUCCGGUUUACCACAUCAUUCUUAAUGUACUCAACAAUGCAGCAGCAAUUAAAAGUCCUUGGAAAAUGCCAAGCUACUACAAUGACAUAACGAAAACUAUAUCUCACCUUACACCCUUGUUGGCAUAGACAACAUAUCCGUCCUUGUUCGGGGUGAAUCAUAAUCCUGAAUUCAAUUAUCAUCAUCGUCGAGAAUGUCAAACUGUAAAUCAACCAUGCAUGGAACAAAACUUAGAAAUUAAACAAUUAUCAAAGCUUAUGAAGAAUGCUAAACCCAACUAAUUCGAAACAUAAAGUAACCCGAAAGAGAGAAAACUUAUAAAUUUUACAUAAAUUAUAAUCCUUAACAGAAGGAUGGAACAAAACAGGUUCAUUCUUAAGAAUAGAUGUAACUAGUAAUAGGCCUGCGCGCUGCUGCGGGACUUGAAUGCACCAGCCUUAACAACAUGAAUAAGACACAUUUAACAUGAAAAAAAUUCAACAUAAUCAUGAACGAACAAAAAGGAUAGCUGAGUGAACAGUGUUCGUAAGUAAAACAGCUUAGUUUUUAUAUACAUUCAACCAAGCUGAUUACAAAAGAUGUGAUUGUAAAAAAUGUUCUGCUUACCUGAGAAACAAAAGCAACAUGCAUUUUACACAUACAAGACAUCUGAUAUUAAACCUAAAAUCAUGUAAUUCUGUAUGAAGUGGAGAAUAAUGCAGAAAGAUGGUUUUCUAUAGUGCUGCCAAUGACAAUUAAUUUCUCAUGAAAAAAAAGAAAAGAGAAACACAGGUAUAAAAGAAUAUUAUUUUUUAUAGUUGCAAACAUUAUGAAUUCCAAAAAGAAAAACUACAGAUAACACUUCAAUCACAGAUCUAAGCAUCUAAAACGUGGCAACCCAGAUACCAUUCAAGACAUUGCUCAGCAUCAUGGAUAAACUAACCUAUCUGUGUCCCUGUGCUCACUGCAUGUCAUAUACACCCGACCAACUGGGCAUAGGAGCAUAAUGAGGAAAACUUUCAGCACCAUUUUGUACCUGAAAAAUGAGGGAGGAACUAAUUAAAGCGUUCCUCACUUAGAAUAAAUAAUGCAUGCAUAAUAGCCAAAUGGACAUUGCGCAUAUAAAUUGUUGUGGCAAUAACUUGCAAUAGAAAACGUAGUUAAAAAUAAGAUAUACGAAAUACCAACAUUGCAAUGGUAUUUUUUUUUUCCAUUCGAUUGUACUGAAGCAUGCAUCUUAAAUUAGGUACUACGUGAGGUCUCUAUAAUGAAAUGGGAGAUUGAAUACACUUGACGAAACUGAAAAUUCAAAUAUGCACACGCUCCAUAGUGUAUCUUCACAACCAAAAGAAACGUUUAUAUAUACGACAUAUGUUUGACAUUGUUUUUCCCCACUCAAAUCGUCUUGAGAAAAUUUGACUACUAAAAACUACAAAACUUUGAUUAAAGAAUCAAAUAGAAUAGCAUGAGAAAGUUAUUAUUACACCAUACCUGACUUUUUUGCAUAUAAAAACACCUGUAUUUCACCUGAUUUUGUAAUGAAAUACAGAUGCUUGUAGUUCACCAGUACAUAGCUGCCUGUCAUUUGUUGUCUUCUUCGGGUUCAAGAUCCUUAUAUUGUCUGAGACGUGAAAGAAUCAGAAAUUGUAUACAGUUUGAUAAUGAAACAUGUAAUGUGAUUAUGUGACAACAAUGCACUCCUCUCUCUCAGAGAGAUAAACAAAGAUAUCAAAAACAGAGAGGCAAUGUUAAGAUAAACAGAAAGGCAAUGUCACAUUGUUUUGCAUGAUCUUGAAAAUUGGGGAUAAGGUAUUCAAAGUGCUAACAAACACGUGCAAAUGGGGAUAAAAAAGGGGAUAAAUUGAAAAAUAUAUAUGCUCUUAAUCGAGAACUUCAUCAAAUAAACAAUAAAAUCUAAUGUAAUCUGUCCAAAACCAAAGAGAGUGAUAAUUUGGAGGCACUAUAAUGUCUUGGGCAUCGCAUACUUGCGGUAUAUGAUUGAUGCAUCUGUUGCUCAAUCAAAUCAUUUGCUUGGCUAAAAAAGUUAUUUUUACAAUAAAUAGAUUCGCAUCCAAUUUAUGAGAAAUCAUGCAAAAGUAAAUGUAAAUGAUAACGGAAUCAUGAAUGCGAAUAAGAAACACAUACAUGCCAAAAAGAAAACCUACUAUAGUGUGUCAAGUUACUUGCAACAUAAUUUUUUAUGCCAUUAUCCAUUUCGCAAUACUUUAAAAAAAUUUCGUUUGAAAAAGCUUUGCUAUGAUUUUUAGGUUUGGGAAAAAUAAUACCAUAAAAAUUAAAAAACAAUUACUAAAAAUCAUGGCCUGUUAAUAGCAAAAUACACUCCUCAACAAUGUAUAUGAACAUGUGAGUUGAAAAUUUGAAAUAUUCAACAACUAAAAGAAAGAAGCAAAAUCAGAAGAAAAGAAAGAGAUACUCACUCAAAAAUAAAGAUGUAAUAAUGCCAGGCUUCUUCUCCUCGGCAUCCAGAAUUCCAUUGUUGUCUCCAUCUUCAACCUUCAAUGUAUUUAAAAUAUGAAAUGGAAAAAACCCAGAAGAAAUCAUUACAUAAAAUAAAAUUAUCCAAGUAAAAUUAAAGGAUGGAUAGAAAAGAAAUGAAGGCAGUUUAUUCGGACUUAAUUAGAGACUUACUGAAUAAGCUUGAAAUCUAUCUCACACAUCUCUUAAACUUCAACCCCUAUCCUCCUUGCCUCUGUAAUAUGCACACAUAUAGAAAAAGAAAUCGACUUUAGAACCUACAUUGAUACAUAUCUUGUGUGAGUAGGUCUUUCCUGCUUUUCCCCAAUCAUGCAUAUCAAAGAAACGAAAAAGAAGGAAAUCACCCAUAUAUAUAAUACCUUAAGUUUAAAUGCAUCCCAAUUUUGGGUUCCAACGUCACAGAAAGAAUGUCUUAUACAUAAUUUAACAGUACCCCCGACAUCGGUCCAUCCAUUCGUAUUAAUAGUUAUUGUCUGCACAAACCUCAAUUACCUUACAAUCUAUCAUUAUUGACAUAAAGUUCAUACAAUAUGGGACAUCAUGACCUCUCUUUGGCCAGCACCAGUUUUUCCAAAAUGAAAUCAACUAUUACUGCAUUAAUUAUGGGUCCAUCUGGCCAAUUCAUUGAAUUCGCAGACCCAAAAAUUUCACCAAUUAACUGAAUUUACAUACAAAUGGGAGAAGUACAAAAACAAAGACAAUGGCAUAAAUUAUACCAUAAAAAUUACACUACGAAAAAUUUAGAGACCAAAAUCCUUGUUAACAGAAUUUAUUCACAUUAAAAGACACAAUUUCGGUUCAAAAAACUAUCAAAUUUAAACUUUGAUAUCAUAUGAUAAAAUCUUAAUUAAACUCACAAUCUCAAGAAGUUGAAACCAUGUUAAGUAAAAGAAACAAAUUGAAAAAAAUUAAGAUGUAAAUAUUGAUAAGAACAACAAAAGUGGCAAAUACAUUAUACACAGAUAGGACCCUGAAAUAUCGGAACCAGCAGCAACAAAUAGAAUUAAGAAGAAAAAGGAUUAGCAGACUUAAUAAAUGAGAAAUAGGAUAACAGGUACGAACUCAGUUUUUCCACUAUGAAUAAGAGAUCCAGUGGCAUAACCUAACAUUAGGUAGAAUCAAUGCUGGUUGAUUGAAUUUUCAUUCCCUGAAAAUUCAGAAAAUGAUGUGUUUUGAUCUGCAGAUAGAAGCAUUCUAUAUAUAUAAAAAAAAAAUAUAUGGAGACAUGAUGAGGUUCAGAAACCAAACCAUGUCGGUAAAAUCCUCUUGGCAGGUUGCUCAAGGUUGACCUCCUAGCCCUUGGACCAGUCAGGAGACUUGGCCUCCUGCUUUCAAGUUUGGAAGGGAAGUAAAAGGUUCAGCCAAUAAGUAAAAGAAUUGAUUCAGAGGAUAGAAUCAAAAUUUCAAAAAUAUUAUUUGAUGCGAUUAAAACUGUUCCCAAUGAUAAAAUGAAUAAAAAAAUCCAUUGGAAUAAAAGAAAAAGAAUGAUUAAAAUUAUUCACAACCCUUGCUGUUUUUACCUAACCAUUUGUAGGAUCCAUAAAGGGCCAAAAAAAGUUUUUUACUUCUCCUCUAGUCCCAUAAAUUUGGAUUCCAUCUCGUCCAAGCAAACUAACAAUCAUUACUAUACUUUGUUUUAGCAUGCGAACACAAAUCUCAAAAAAAAUAGAUAAUUCAUUUACAAAUUUAAAUUCAAUUUUUAUAUCUCGAUAUUUGUUUGUUAAACUCAAUGAUCAAACUUCAGACUCAUGCCUUCCAAAAAGAAAAGAAAACGAAGAAGAAUUGAAAGCACUUCCCAUUCCAAGGAAAGAGCAGCCAUAAUUAGGAUCCAAAACUCAUUCUUUAGUCUCCUCAUCUGAAGCUAUAUAUAAUCAUUGAACAAAAACGUUUAACGUCCAGCAGAAAGCAAACUGCAAUCAAAAUUUCAAAAAAGCAAAAUAAUGCGCAGAUAAUCGACAGCUGCAACAAACAAAAAAUAGAAAAAUCAAAUGCAGAUUGAAGGAAAAAUCGAGACCGCAAUCGAAACUCAUGCUUGUAUGGGUAAUUAAUUGUAGAUACCAAAUCAUCAAAAACCACUUGUCUACACCAAAUUGCAUACAAAAGAUAUUGGGGCAACUCAGAUUGUGCAAUGAAAAACAAAGUCAAACUACGACGUAGAUGUCUAUCGGAAUUUCAUUCAAAGAAUGAUUAAAUAAAGACAAUGGCAUGCCAAAGAUUAAAUACCCUAAGCGACAGUGUCAGCCAUGAGCUUCCCUCUGUGAGAGCACAGGGGUGUAACUGCAAAAGAAAGCCGGAGACUGAGGGCAAACUGUAAUUUCGUCAAAAAGGAGGAAGUGUACAAAAGAGAAGUGACAGCAAUAAGCGUAGACGCCAAGGACAAAGUAAAUAUGUAUUUGUGAAUGGGGUUAAGCUGCUGCUAGCUUUGUAUAGUGUAAUAAUGCAAUUGCAAAUAGACCAAGUUACUGCUACUAAAAGCUUUUGCAAAAUCAUAAAACUCUUAACAGUUUGAACCCUACCGAAAAGUUUAUAUGAGUUAAAGAACAGUCGUACUUAAGUGCAGCAAGAUCAUAAGCUCUUGCAGCUUCUCCUCCAUAUCAGAACCACCUGCAGUCCAAAUUAACCAAGAUUCAAGGCCAAAGCAAGAACAAAUUAGUGAUAAUUUAAACUAAAGUCCCUAAUUAUUGUUGCAGAGAGAAUUCAUAUCAAGAUUAACGACAUUAUUUGAUUCGAAUGGAAUCCAAACGCAGCAUAAACAUGAAAGGUAAAAAAUUAAUACCAAAAGUCACAUUUAAGCAGCAAUUAAUAGCAUAAAUCAGAUUUUAGUGGCAUGGACCAAAAUAAUUCAGUAAAAAAGAAACAAUCCCAAACAAAUAGAAAGAACUGGAGAAACAAUUCGAAACAAAUCUUCGGAAAGCAACCCCAUCCCUCCCUCACCCUCUCUCUCUCCAAUUCCAACUUCUCCCUACAUCUCUCUGUCUAUAAUAGAUGUGCAGUUUUAUUAAUCUUUGUUGCCGAAGCGUGCAAGAUAGUGAAAAGAUUGUUUAUCUAAGAAAAAAAAGGGCACAUUUUAGAUGGAGACAGAUGGCAUUUAACAAAUUCUUCAUUAGUGGAGUAAAUAAUUUGCAACCACCUAUUUCCUGGUAGCAUUAAAAAAAAAAUUCAAUUUUAAAAAAGAAAUGUACUUUUUAGUUCAAUUUCCACAGCCAUAGUAAUUUAUGUGGACUAAAAUUAAGAUUAACUAAUACAUCCAAUCAACUGCAACUAAACAACUUAUAGUAAUUGAAUCUGUGUUUGUGGAUGUGAGAGAGAGAGAGAGAGAGUUAUCUAUUAUAAAGCCAACCUUCUUUGAAUUGGUCCUCUUAUGGCUUAUUACCAAAACUCUCCAUUGCAUUUGCAGUAAUGCCCUCUGCUUCUCCUCCUGCGAAUUAUCAUUCUGUAAGUAAAAGGUACAAAAACAUCAAUUACUUAAUGGUAGAUAUGUACUUUAGACUUUUGAAGAUCCAAUUCAUCCUGCAUCUUCUCACACUCAUCUUCAUGCUGAAGCUGCAAACCUGUCAGCUCAGCUUCAAGUUCGCUCCUCAUUGAAGUUAUUUUCUAUGAAAAUGAUAAACUGGUUUGUAACGUAAGCAUAUAACACUCUAGUUAAAUUAGUAGUUCCAACUUAAUUCAAAGCUAAAAACGACAUUAAUGACCACAAUUUAAGAAUCCAGAAACAGCCCAAACUAACAACACACACAGAGGACAGACACUGAAAGACAUAUUUUUUUAGAGAACCUAACUAAAAAUUAAAAACAAACCAAGUAAAAUUUUCAGAGUUUAAAAACAGGAAACCAUUACAAUCUUUACAGAAACCAACUAAAAUUGGAAUCUGAAAAAAAAUCCGCUCAAUUUUAACAGCCCUGCUGCAUAUAUUGGGUUUUUUUAGGCAUGAGACAACACAAACGAAGAAAACAUAACAUAGUUGUAAACCUUAGGCUCCAAUCAGGUCAAGUGUGAGAUUUCAAACACGGAGAUUUACUCCAUGUUUAAAAACUGCCAAAUACAUUGCCAACUGUUAAGAGUAUGAACUACAAAUCUAUAAAGUAAAAAGACUUGCAGAUAAGUUUAAACAAUCAACAUUCAACUUAUGAUUGUUACUGUUUUUUAGCUGGAUGUUCACAUUCUAAUAAGGUAUUAAAAGAGAUUAUAAGCGUGUGUGCUCUUAAACCACCCAACACCAUGUAUUAAUCAAAUAAUUAACAUCUAAAGAUGGAGACAUGAAACACGAAACCUGCAAUUAGAUCCCAAUCACAAAAUGCCAAAAAAAUCCUAAUCUAACCAUCCCUAUACUAAUAGCCCAUUCGAGCAGCUAUUAGCACCUAACCCGCUACUUUGGCAACCCACCAACCCGCCACACCGUCAUGUCCCAUCCCCUCUCCACCACUCACUAUAUCUCUCACCUUUCUUUCUUGACAUUUCGCUCGGUGCACACAAACACCAAGCCAACCAUUGCCGGCCUUUGUCUAAAAGUGGACAAAAUCCCAUAGGUCCUGGCAGAGGACCUAGCUAAAUCUCUCUCCCACUCAGUCGAAACCCGUAGCUACCAUUUCUCUCCAAUCUGUCAGUCUCUCUGUCCCCCUCUUCUCCUCCCCCCAACAACCCUCUGACCGAUGCAUCACCCACAGCCACACCCACCCGCACCCGAGUCAAAAAUCCCAACGAUCCUCUCCCUCCAACCCGUCAACAAAUUAUGGAUUCCGAGAAUGUAUCUUGAAAACUCAGAUGCACAUGAUUAAAAUUAGUAGAUAUUAAGGACGUGUACUUAACAGAACAACACGAAGAACGAAUGAGUACAUUACAAACUAAAUGACCGUGUCAGCUAGAUACUUCUUAAAGAACACCUCUAAUCUACCAGUAUGAUUACUCAGUUUUUGGUUUUUAAAUUAAUACCCUAAACCUUACAUUCAAACUCAUUUCGAAUGCAAACAAAAGUAAAUGAUAAGUCCCGAGCUUUUCUUUCUAGCCUCAACUCAACUCAAGUUCCCAACCUUCACCUUCCAAUACAAAGAAACUAACGCAUCAAUCUGCAAUUUCGCAAACAUAUAAUUCAACUAACCAAGUUCUGUGUCCACUCAAAUGCACAUAUUUGAGCUCAAUCAAACUUAAAUUUGAAACAAAUAGUGAUGAAAGAUCAAACAUUUAUACCUAGCUUAGGAUCCGAACCAAUCUCCUCUUUCGCCUCCCUCGUCGCCGUGUCCCCAUCGUCCUUGUCCCCCUCCUCUGUUUUCCCACCCGGCAAAGAAACUUCACCUGCAGAAACACAAAACCAAAAAUUAAAAAACCAAUCUUUCCCAUUUCCAUUUUUAUCAAUUUCCUCAAUUUUUCCCAUUUCCAGAAAAAUGAGCAAGAAGCUUAAGCAGGAAAAAAAUCAUAAUUUCAACAACCAAAACCCAAUACCCGUUUAAUCAUACACGAACGAAAAAUCUAAACACAGAGUCACAGAUUAACGAACUGAAAACCCAAAAAAAAUAAAGGAAACUGACCUUACUUAAGAACAAUACAUAGAACACAGAGAAACGAAACAAAUAAAGGAACCCCCAAAACCAAAUAAAGGAACCCUCAAAACCUGACCUAACAGUGCAACAAAAUCUGGAAAUAAUUCACAGCAAAAAGGCAGAAAUGAUGACAAUCUAUGCUAACAGUAAAGAAUCGAAUUAAAAAUUGAACUUAGCUUUUGAAAUCCAGCCACUCAUCCGACAUGCAAAAGGGAACGGAUGAUCGAGAGUGAAUCAUGGACUGAGGGACCUUACUCGACCCAUCAUUGGAGCUACGUUUGUAGCUUUUGGGGAGAAAAAAAUUGAAUGUGAAAGCUGCUUUUGAUGUGGCCAUUAAGGUGGUGCUUCAGCAACCGAAGCAAAAGAAGAAGAGGCAGAAAAAUGUGAGUAUUCCAUGAAGAAAAAAAAAAGGUUAAAAAAUCACUAAAAAGAAAAGGCAGAAAAAUGCAGGGUAUUCCAUGAAGAAAAAUUCAACAAUUAAAUAAUAUAGCUGUAAACCUUAGACUCCAAUCAGGUCAAGUGUGAGAUUUCAAACACAGAGAUUUACUUCAUGUUAAAAAACUGCUAAAUACAUUGCUAACUGUUAAGAGCAUGAACUAUCUGUAAAGUAAAAAGCCUUGCAGAUAAGUUUAAACGAUCAACUGUCAACUUAUUAUUGUUGCUGGUUUUGAGGUGGACGUUCGUAUUCUAACAUGGUAUUAAAAGAGAUUAUAAGUGUGUGCGCUCUUAAAUCAGCCAACACCAUGUAUUAAUCAAAUAAUUUAUAUCUAAAGAUUGAGACAUACAACAUGAAACCUGCAAUUAGAUCCCAAUCACAAAAUGCAAUAAAAAAAUUCCUAAUCUAACCAUCCAUAUACUAACAACCUAUUCGAGCAGCUAUUAGCACAAUUUACCUCCCUCUCUAUUCUUCCCCACCCCCUCUUUAACCAAAUAAAAACUCAUUUGUCUCACUAAAUAAAAACCUCAAAUUUGUUUUUUCAAAGCUGCAACAACAUCACUAAAAACACCAUGUAAUAAAAAUUUAAAAAAACCAAUCCAAUUUAAGUCGAGAAGCAAAUGACCAAACCUCCUAUUUUGAGGAAACAUUUUGCAUUCAAACCUAAAAUGCUUGCCUGCAAAGAAGGAUUAAAUAGCAAAGCAGACUUUCGGGGGAAAUAAAAAAAACAGACUAUUUAUAAUACAAUAAAAAUAAAGUAAUUCAUCAUCCCCACCAUCUCUGUGAGCUUUAACAGAACAGAGGAAUCAAAUUAAGCAAUAUAUAAAUUUAAGUUGACAUUCCAGUGUUCUACCUCUAACCUUGGUAGCAUGCAUGCACUGUAAGUUAUAAAGUGAAUUAAGCCAAGAUCUUCUAACUUCAUGAUUUUCACAUAUGCAUUAGAUGGAGAAAUACAAUAAAUAAUCAAAUAUGUAAGACUCUGAUAUUCAAAACCAAACAAACCCAAUUACACUUUUAGUUCACUAACCCCAUUGAAUAAAAUCCAAUUCAAUAAAAUAACAGAAAAUUAAACAACCCAAAAAUCAAAACAACCCCACUUGUAGUUUUAGCUCACUAAUCCGUUGGAUAAAUAGAUGCCAAAUUCAAUCAGAAAACAUACAAUUAACAACAACCCAGAAGAGCCAUCCGAAAACCCAACCAAUUAACCAAAAAAUACCACUUGUUCUUUUAGCUUAGUAACCAACCUCUACUUGUUUUCUGGCAAAUUUGGGGUCCUUUGAUUUCUAGACUUUCAGUAGAAACUGAUUAUACCAUGGGCUAAUAUUCAAGUACCACAAAAUAUAAUUUUACCGUAGUAAGCUUUUUGAUUCACUCCAAACGAAGAUAUUAUAUGUUCACAUAUAUAUAUUCACAACCAUAAAAAGAAGAACUUAUCUCUGGCAUUUUAAUAAAAAUAAAAAUAAAUUAUUCACCCACAGUAAAAACCGAAACAGCUAAAUUAAACCCAAAAAUUAAUCAUGAUCAUACAUAUGUAUUCCUGACAAAUGUUUAGCCCUUUAAUUAAAACACUAAAAUAAAAAAUUGCUCACCCACAGUAAAAAACCGAAACAUGCAAACCAAAGCCCAAAAUUUAAUCAUCACUAUUACUUUUUUUUUUUUUGGUGUUUUUAAGUUUCAGGGAAAAAUGGAAGCACAAACAAUCAAAAAACCCAAACAAAAAGAAAUUAACACCAAAGAGAUAAAUUAUAUACCUGACCCAGAAAAAGCUUGGAAGCUCACAUAAUGAAACCCUAAAACUCGAAGAAGGAUGCUUCCUGCAAACCAAAUACAAAAUCAGACUCUCUCUCUUAGAAAGAGAGAAGUUAUCAAGUCCUGUACUUGGUUAUAUUUGUUCAAGUUAGGAAAAAUCGAGUACAGGGUUGGUACCUGGAGCUUGAGAAAUCAGAGAGCUUGCCUGUUUGAGAAAAGAUGAUAACAACAGCUUCAGAUUCACACAGAAAACGUACAAAAAACGCACAACAUGCUCUCUGCCCUCUCUCUCUCUCCCUCCCUGUCCAUCCGUCCCUCAAAAAGUGGGAAAAAAAAUCUCCAAACGUCUCUCCCACUCAUGAAAUCGAGGAUCUGCAGCAAUGGCGCUGAGGUCGCCACUCCUCCCUCUCCCUUUCUCUGUCGCUCUGUCUCUGUCUCUGUCUCUGUCUCUGUCUCUCUCUAUCGAAGGCAUGGCCUUUCAUCCCCGAAACCCUCACUGAAUGACAGCAAACCCAAACCCACCCCAAUCCGUCUCAAACACACAGGACAAAAUUGCCCUUCCAACCCAGCCCCAAUACCAGCCCAAACCUUACGGUUUUGUUGUAAAUAGCGUGAAAUCGAGUGGCUCCCUGAUAAGCCAUAUGGACAAAAUUACCCUCUGAAAUUUUGAGAAUCACCCUCCCAACCCACUCCCAUUCGGCUGGUACUGUUGUAAAUAAAGCAAAAUAAAAACAAACGUGAAUAGUGCCUGCCCUCCCCCUACUUUAGUAUAGAUAAUUUUGCACAUUGCAUAUAUGUAGAUUAAGGACGGUGGUAACAUACCUUGUAAUUUGUACAAAUUAGGAUUUUCAUUCAAAGAACUAUAAUAUACACAAUUACAAAAAAAGUGAUUCAAACUUGUUCUUCUCUUAAGGAAAUUACUCACAGUUGAAAUUCUGAAUGGAUGAAGUUUUGGCUUCCCUUUCCGACUAUAUUUGAUUAACCUUUUUUUAAUCCAAUGAGUGCCUUCAUGAGAGAGAGAGAGAGAGGAAUAUUAGGUGAAAAGUAUUGCCAAAUCACACAGAGAUCAAAAUCUUGAAUAUAUAUGUUUAACCAUGUCAAAGUGAGUGUGUAAAGGGUGUAGUCUGCAGAAAGGGCAACAUUUUCACUGCUAGAAAGUUGGAAACUAAACUUUUACACAGAUAUUGGAUUUUAUUAAUUCCCUUCGCGAAUUGAAAAGCAAAUUGUUCGAGUAAUGCAGGUAAAUUCGAUAUACAUAUGCGUUGAUCUAUGUGACGGUUAUAAGUUAUAACUGUAUUGUCUUAACGCAAAAAUGAUCAUAAAUGUAAGUGUCUGUAUUAUGGAAGUAAGGGACUUACAGCAAUUGCUAUGAGCUUUAACAGCAGUCACUCCAAGUACCUUAUUACGGAAGUAAGGGACUUACAUCAAUUGCUAUGAGCUCUACCAGCAGUCUCUCAAAGUGGUGCAAGGGCUAAAAUUAUAAAUAAAAAGUAAUUUAAACAAUUUAACUUAAUAAAAUAUUGUAAUUUAAACAAUGCCUAUAUAUUCAAACAUCCCAAAACAGGAAUGAACUUCUAGAAAACAUGCGCAUGAAAAUAAACGGCAUUACUCACCCAUUGAGUUGGACCAUCAAACUGGAGCGUAAGAAGGAUCAUCAUGUACCUAUGAAACCCAAAGGAAAAUUUUAGCAACCCCAAAGCUUGUAUGCAAGCGUGAAUAAGUAUGCGUGUAUGAAUCUAUUCAUAGUGAAGAAGGCUACCUUAAGAAAUAUUUGCAUCUGCAGCUUCAUAUGGCCAUACAACAAAAAGCAUCGCAUAUGAUAACAAACCCCAGCUGCACCACAAAAGGAAUAUGAUCUUCCUCUCGACUUGUAUUUGCAGUUGUUACUGUAACAUCUGCAGACAGCAUACAUAAGCACUGAUUCGAUAAUUCUAAAGGAAAAAAAGUUCUUAUUCGAUAAUGCACCAAAUCCUAUCCAAAAACCAAGGGGGUGCCAUAUCCCUAGAUUAACAGAGCAUCUUUCUUUGUUCCAAAACAAAUUGCAAUUGGCUUUGGUAAAGUAGAAAGAUUACCAGAUACCGACUCUGUUCCAUUAUUCGACUGUCCUUUUAGUUCUAUCUCUCAACAUGGGAAAUACAAUAAGACAGUAAAGACAAAAGUUAGUGAUGCUAUUACAUAGUGAAAGAAAAUAAGACAUUCACAUAUUGAUAGCUAUUUACUGUCCUUUCUCAUCAUAAUCUUGGCCCCAAUAUAUAUACUGAAUUUUGAAUGCAAUGAGAGAAAUAUACCUUUGGGGCGUCAAUGCCAGAAGAGUGAGUGAGGGAUCUAAGAUGUUUGAGAGCAGGAAUUUUUAAGUAAUUUGUGUGAAAAAGUUGAAGAGCUUCGAACAGAGUGGAGUGGGUUGGCCUGGGCUAAAAUAAAGAGGAUGAACUCUAGAAAGUAGAAAAUGUUGUUAUUCAACCAAACUCAAAAGUAAAGAAACCAUACAAUUAACAUAUAAAUAAGUUUUAUAUACCAAUGUUUACAUGUACGUUGUUUGAGAAGGUAAAUUAGCAACAUAUACAGUGAUCAAAAGAUUAACAGCAAUAAACUGCUCAUUAUUCGAAAUAUACAUGAAAGUUGUCAUUCACAUGAUCCAAAUGGUAGAGGACAAAACAGAAGGAAGCAAAUAUUAUAGCAGCAUAAGUUGAAUAAUUGCAGCAAGUAAACAAAUAGAAAGGCUAGCUAGAUUACACAAUCCAGUUCUAGGUCGGACUAACCAUGUUAGCCAUCCGCCCACCACCAGCACCGUCGGCUUCUUAUUAAAAAUGUAGAAUAGAAGACUCAAAAACUGGAAAUGAAAGCAGGUAACAUUGAGUUUUAAUAACCAAAAAGGGACAUUGUUUAAGCAGCUCCAUAGCAGCAAUUAUACUUGGACGAUGAGCUGCAAAAACAGAAAAGAAAACACAAAUUAAACUAAAAAAAAUAUAAAAUUUAGCACUAAUCCAGGAUUAAAUAUAAAAUAUAAAGUCAUUAGGAUUGGGACCUUUGCAUUGAGGAAUAUCUACUACAUUAUGAGUUCCCUCCUGACAGUGGCGGAUCCAGGAUUUUAAACUCGGGGGGUCUCAAUAAUAAAGGUCAAAAAAUUUAUACACAAAAACAACAUUGAAAAUUUAAAUAUAAUACAUUUCAUUCAAAAAUCAUAUGCAAAACAAUAUUACAAAUUAUAAAAUCAUAAUUCAAGCGUCCAUUACAAGGUUUCAUAAGUUACUACCUAAGUUAUUGAUUAUCUAAUAUGGACCACUAAAUUUAAAACACCAGUCAAAUAAAACUCUUCCCAAACUCCCACUAUCUUUCUAACCAAACACACCAUUUUUCUCUUUUACUAGUUUCCAAACAUCCACUUUCUCUCUCACUAAGAACACAGCUGCCAUACCUCCACCAACCACCUCCCUCCCCAUUCUCCCGAAGCCAUGGCAGCUCCACCCCCAAAUUUCACCAACCCAUGACAGAUCAUAUCCAUCUUACUAACCUUAUGCAGGAAAUUUCACCCAUAACAAAAAUUACUAAGGUGGUUGAAAUAAUUUGGGGAAAUUUGGGCUUAUGUACUGCCCCGCCAGACGACAGAUGGAGGAGAAGUGGGUGGCACCGAUGGAUGAGACCAUGGCAGAAGCAAGGAGAGAGGCUGGAAGGGUCCCUAUUUUCUUUCUUCUCCGUGCGCGGUCAUCUUCUCCGAGAAGAAGACAGCCACUGCAACCUACAACCUGCACAGACCUCAUGCUCGAGUACGAGGGGUCCCCGGAAAAUUUCUAGCAGCGAUUUAGGAUCGCCGACGGGUCCUGGGACCUCCCAGGUCCCUAUGUAUGCAGGAAAACCUAAGGUUCCUCCUUAGGUUUUUCGAUGUACCAAACCCGAAUCCGCCGUCCUUUUUCCAAAAUUCUAACGUUUUCAUAGAGUUUUAUUAAACGACCUUUAAUUGUGUUUAGGUGCAUCGGUGGAAGUGACCUCAUUCUUGAUGGUUCGAGCGGCUUUCGGGCAAUGGAAAACUUGUGAGUGGACCCCUUCUAAACUUAUAUAUUGUUAUAAAAUAUUAGCCUAGCAUGCAUUCCAUAUUUCAUGAUUUGAAUAUGAUUUAUAAUAUGCUUUAUGGACUUUUAUAAUUAUGGUUUACGAAAUAGUUUGAUUUAUCGAAAUUACGUUUUAUUAGGUAUUGAAUUAUUGGAUUUACAUAUAUGGAUUUCUAUGGUUUUCAAAUACGAUUUAUAUUACGGUUUUACGAACAUGAAUUGUUUUAUGGAUUUCAUGAAUACAAUUUAUCUUGGAUUUAUGAGAUGAGACUUUGAGCUAGUGAGCUCCGGGUUUGAUAUGAGUUUUGAGAUAUGUUUUUGGUACUUAAUCUAGUGGGUUAUCAUACGGCACAUCCGCACACCACGGGUAUAGAUGUGUAUGGCCAUAGGACACAGAUGAUGAGGAGGAGUAAGAUAUGAUAUAUUGUAUACCCCCAGUUCACUGUCGAAAGCAGUGUCAGAUAACUUCACUAGCCAUGGCUAGUGUCGGUAUGGAUGUUAUGCUAUUUCAUACAGCUUCACCUUCGGGUGAUAGACAGUUAUUUAGCUUCACCUUCGGGGUGAUGGACAUGUACUACCUUCGGCCAACUAUAAUAGCCUUAGUUGAGUACUUCACUGACAAGAUUUACAAAUUUGCCUUUGGGCGACGACAUUUUCAUUAUCAAGCACUGGAUUUUACAUAUCUACCUUCUAAAUGGAUUUUCAUGGCAUGCUAGGGUUUUUCAUAAAGCCUAUAUGUAGUAUUAUAUAUGUUUUCAAAAUAAGGGGUUAUUAUGUUCAUAAAUAAAAUGUUUUCCUAUUAUUAGUAUUAUUAAUAUAAACUUUGGUCCACUCACCUUUUCAGUUUUUGCGCCUCCUCAGGAGUUAGGAUCGAGGCACAUGAUCCCGGCAUCAUGGCAUGUUGAUAUAGGUAUCCUUGAAUCUUCUUAGUGUAGGUAUCAUUCCCUUAUUCAUAUCUUUUUAUAGUGAUUCUUUCCUAUUAUUUCUAAUUAGUUGUAUGCUCUGAACAAAUUCCUGCUUUGGUAUAAUCGUUAUAACUACUUAUCUUGUAAUUGUUUGCAUGUUUAAAAUGGUUUCGUCACCUUUGGGCGUGGGCUAGCACGUGCCUACCCUGGUAUGUUGGGGUAUCGGGGUUGGGGCGUGUCAAAGAUAGAGAGUGAAUUUCUAGCAGAUUCAAUGGUUGUCUACAUUUUAAAAAGAGCUUGCCGAAAAGAUUGAUUCAGAUGAAAUAACAAAGGAUUUCAAUUCCAUUAAGGAUUGAAGGGCACAACUUGAAUAGGUAUUUUUCUUUUUAUUUGUUAGGUUGUUAUGACAAGAUUGACGAUGUAUGUUUCUUUAUAUUGUAAGUUGCAACUUUAAAGGUUUUCUUCGUUAAAUCUAGUUGAAACUUGAUUCAUUUAGAGUUAAAUUUCUUACUUCAAAUUGUUGCUUUUAGGCUUAUUAUUGUGUAACUUUAUGCAAGCAACAAAAAAUUUUAACCAUUUGAUUUUGUACUAAUAAUUUUAGCUUAGCAUGCCACCAAAUAAUUCAUGUCUCCGCUAUUGAAAUCUUAGCAUGUGCAAUUUCAAAGUCUCGGUUGCCAAGUCUCCCCAGGCUGUUCAGCACCCAUUCUGAAUCUUGAUCGAGAUCUAGAGCAGUGCAAGUCAAGGAGUCUUCAUUCUCAUUUGAAACAAUGCUAAAAUUAUACCUCAGCUUGGACUCCUUGGGCAAAAUAUACCCAAAUGUAUUAAUAAUUUAAUACUACUUGUGGAUGCACCACUAGUCCAAAAAAAUCACCUCUCCUUUCUUAAUCUUCAAUUGGUGAGGGUCCCAAUCAAGCGUGAAAGGCCCCGGCGCACGGUUGGCUUUAGUUUCCCAUGAUGAAAUCGACGAAACGUGGCCAUUUGUACGGUUGACACCCAAUUUCAUGCCCGGCAAAAAGGUGUCAACUGGUAAUCAAAGCUUUACGUUCACUUCUUCUUGUACAAAAUUUCCCGAAUCCAAAAGGAUAGCCACAACAGUAGCAAUACUGUUACUUAUGUUGGUAGACCUAGUAGUUUGUGGAGCUGAGAAAAACACAAUUGGAUUAGGAUCCCUCCCGCAUAAUUUUCAAGGUUUUAUUCCUGUCCAAGGCAAGAGUGCGUACAAAAUAGGGGCUUUACGGUUGCAAAUCCAAGCAAUGUUGCCAUCGGCCUUGUUGCUCUGGAUAGAUACGUAGCUGGUGCUUUUGGAACUGUCGUCGUGUACACAGGAACUGAAACUGAACUUCUCCGAUGCAGAGACCAAAGAACUUGAGGAGUUGAGAGUGUCUCCUGCUGGUUUCAGUGUGUCCUUGCACUUGCAGCAUUGUGACAGGUCCACAGUCAGCAUGCAAAAAUGAUUAAGUUGAUUAUUGCCAUGAUUAAUUAAUGACCAUAACAUGAAGUUUAAUUUCUCCAUAUGAUGAGGAAGAAAGACAUGAAAUCCAUCACCAGAACAUGAUUAAGAAUUUAAUCAAGCAACGCGUCUUAGUUAAACCAUUACAAUCAUUGUACAAGGCAUUUAUAAAUUAAAAAAAAGGGAAUAAAGUAAUAAUUGUUAGAAUAAGAAGAAAAUGUAGUACAACAAUGGAGGAUAUGCUGCAAUGACUAGAGUGAGAGAGAGAGAAAGAAGAGAGCAGAGAAUAUGACACUGCAAUUCUUUUCACACGCAUUGUUUGAUUGCUCACUUAGUGAGAGAGGAACAUCUCUCUACACUUAACAGUUACACUUCCAAACUUUUGGCAGUAUUCAAAAUUACAUCCAAGUAAUCCUAGCCAUCCAUCUUACACCCUAUGAGAUGAAGACACAUGUACACUCACUUACUUAAGAACUAUGAGACUUAGAUAAGAAAGCAUACAACCAAUUUAGCUAAUCAUCCUAGCAAUAUAAGCUAGAAAUACAACUACCACAUCAGAUCACAAUUUACACACUAACAGCCCCCUUUAAAUUGUGAACUGAUUUAACUCCAAGAAGUUCCCUCAGAUAACUGAAUUGUUCUCUUGCCAAUGCCUUUGUAAAGAUAUCAGCAAUUUGGUCUUUCGUAGGACAAUGCAACAGCUCAAUUACUCCUUGCUGCAAUGCUUCCUUUAUGAAAUGGUAUCUCCUGUUGAUGUGCUUGGUCUUCUGAUGAAAAAUAGGAUUUUUAAUGAUAGCUAUGGCUGAAGUAUUAUCACAAUUCAUUGGUGUUGCAACUAUUUGCAUUUCACCAAAGUCCUCCAAAACAAAUCUCAGCCAUGUAGCCUGUGCAGUUGCUUCAGAUGCACUAAUGUACUCUACUUCAGCUGUUGAUAAUGCAACACAUUGUUGCUUGACUGAAGACCAAGAGAAAACUCCACUGCCAAAGGUAAAUGCAUACCCCGAUGUACUUUUCAUAUCAUCUUCUGAACCGCUCCAGUCACUGUCACAAAAUCCCAUUAAGAUUGCUCCUUUGCCUUUCUUGUAUUCCAAGCCAAAAUCAAGAGUCCCUUGAACAUAUCUUAGUACUCUCUUUGCUGUCCCAAGGUGCUUGUUGGUUGGACAGUGCAUAAACCGUGAUAGCAGACAUGCAACAUACAUUAUAUCAGGUCUAGUUGCUGUGAGAUACAGCAAACUGCCUACAAUUUGUCUAUAUUGAGCUUCAUCCGUAGUCCCACUUCCAUCCUCUUUUCUCAAUUUAUCACUUGGAACCAAUGGAGUACUCACUGACUUACAGUCUUGAAGUCCAAAUUUCUUCAGUAGAGAAGAAGCAUAUUUUCUCUGAUGAAUGAAAAUAUACUCCUCAGUUUGCAUUACUCCCAUACCAAGAAAGUGAUGUAAGAGUCCAAGAUCAGUCAUUUCAUAUUUGAGCAUCAUAUUAGAUUUAAAGUCAUCCAUCAAUUCCUGACAACUUCCAGUGUAUAUUAUGUCAUCAACAUAGAUAGACACUAUAAUCAUUUCUGAACUUUUCCUCCACUUGGUAUACAGAGUUGCUUCGCUAGUGCUUUUCUUAAACCCACAGAGUGUAAGAUAUGAGUCUAUUUCACCAUACCAGGCCCUUGGUGCCUGCUUCAGACCAUACAGUGCUUUAUGUAACCUGUAGACCUUAUCUUCUUCCCCUUGUACAAUAAAUCCAUCCGGCUGAUCAACAUACACUUCUUCUUCUAGUACACCAUUCAAGAAUGCCGAUUUUACAUCCAAUUGAAACAACUUCCAUUUGUUCUUUGCUGCCAGGGCAAUUAAUGUUCUGAUUGUAUCCAACCUUGCCACAGGUGCAAAGGUUUCAUUAUAAUCAAUUCCGGGCUUUUGUGCAUAGCCUUUUGCAACAAGCCUAGCCUUGUUCUUUUGAACUGAUCCAUCCAAAUUCAAUUUAGUUUUGUACACCCAUUUCACACCAAUCACAGGUUUAUCAGAUGGUCUUUUCACUAAUUCCCAAGUCUUAUUUUUCUCAAUCAUGCUGAUUUCAUCUUUCAUAGCUUUCUUCCAUGCUUUAUCCUGUGCAGCUUCAUAAUAGGAUUCUGGUUCAACAAUACACAUGACAUCUUUCAUAGAUUUCACUCAAACUUCUAUAUCUCAAAGGAGUAUGAUCAAUCUGAGAUGCAAAAAUUGAGUCACUAGCACUUCCAGAUUCAAUGAGUGGAGAAUCUGUAAGUUGAGUCUGAGAACCUUCAGCAACAGCUUGUUCCAUGGAAUCCGAAUCCUCAUCAGCUUCUUUCAUCUCUGAAGAUUCACUUGCAGCAAUUGGAAUGUACACUUCUUUGAUCUUCUAUCUAUCCCAAUCCUAUGUACCAUUCUCAUAAAAAAUAACAUCUCUUGAAAUGAUUACUUUCUGAUUUUCAGGAUUAAGCAAUCUGUACCCCUUUUCACAAGUGCCAUAUCCAAUAAAAAUACCAAUGACACUUGUUUCAUCCAGCUUCUGUCUCAGGUUUCCAGGAAUAAGGGAAUAACCUAAUGAGCCAAACACUCUCAAGUGUUGAAUUCCAGGUUUUCUUCCACUGAAUUUCUCAAAAGGUGUCACAUUUUCCAAUACUUUUGUAGGACAUCUAUUUAGCAAGUAGACAGAUGUAACUACAGCUUCACCCCAAAGACUAUAAGGAAGACCUUUCUCAUGAAGCAUACACUUUGCCAUCUCCACUAUAGUUCUAUUUUUUCUCUCUGCAACUCCAUUCUGUUGUGGAGAGUAUGCAACAGUAAGCUGCCACUCCAAACCCAAAGCUUCACAAAACUGUUCAAAUUCAUUUGAGGUAAAUUCUUCUCCUCUAUCUGUUCUCAAUUUCUUCACUGAAAAACCACUUUGAAGUUCCACCAUAGCUUUGAAUUUCUUGAAUACAUGAAAGACAUCUGACUUGUGUCUCAAGAGAUAUAUCCAGCACAUCCUCGAAUAGUCAUCAAUGAAUGUAACAAAGUAUCGAUUUCCACUUAUGGUUGGUGUUUGCAUAGGGCCACACACAUCUGAGUGUAUAAGUUCCAAUGGCAUUCUUGCUCUCCAGAUUGACUCCCUUGGAAAGGACACUCUAUGAUUCUUACCAAAUGCACAUCCCUGACAUACACCUUCACUGUCAUGCAUUUCAGGUAACCCAAGAACCAUAUCAUGCUCCUGCAAUUGUUGCAAACUUCUAAAAUUCAGGUGGCCAAACCGUUUAUGCCACAUUGUACUAUUCUGAUGCACAUUGGUUUUCAGUACCAAAUGAUCGUUUGACUUGAACACAAGUGGAAAGCAUCUGUUCCCCUUUUGUUUCACACUAACCACUAAAUUUGUCAGAGUUCUAUCAUAAAAAAUAUCCACCUUAUAAUCACCAAAUAACAGAAAAUACCCAUGUUCAGUCAUCUGCCCAACACUGAGAAGGUUUUCUGCAAUUCCAGGUACUAACAUAACUUCUCUUAUGUACCUUUUUCCUUUAUCCGUGUCAAUGACCAAGGUUCCUUUGCCUUUCACAUCAACAAGAACCCCUGUGCCAACUUGCACUUUUGCUUUAAUACUUCUAUCAAUUUCCACAAGUAACUCCUCUCUGGAAGUCAUGUGAUUACUGCACGCACUGUCAAUAUACCAGGCAUCACUCACAGCUUUCACUUCAGUUGAUUGCUUGACCAUGAAGAGAUUUCCAGGUUCCAGGUUCUCCCACCUUGUUUCUAAAAUUUCUUUGCUCUCCCACUUUGUCUGCAAAAUUCCCUUGCUGAGCAUUUUUGUUUUGAUUGCAGAUCCUAGCAAUAUGACCAGGUUUUCCACACUUGUGACAUUUAAUCUUCCCUUUUAGCCAACAUUCACCAUAGUGAAGUUUAUCACAGUAUUUGCAUGCCCCUCCAGUGUUGUUAGCUUCAUUUCUUACACUUGGAGUAAACCUGUUAGUCCACUGCUUCCCUUUGAACUUGAAGUUCUUCUGAUAUUUUGAUCCACCAGUAUUGGUAUGUUGAUUACCAAAUUUACUAUUCUUAGAUGAGAUAUAUAUCUAAGCUAGCAAAUGCACGUUCUGUGCUACUCUCUUCAUGUCUGAUUAAUCUUAGUUCAAACCCUUUCAAUAUGGCAACCACAUCUUGUGCAUCAAUUACAUCAAUAUCUUUAGUAUUUUCUAUAACAGAAGCAAUGCUAUCAUAUGUUUUGGGUAAACUGAUCAAUAACUUUUGCACAAUUCUCUGAUUACUAAGAUCUUCUCCAUAGCUUCGCAUCUGAUUUAUCAGAUCAAACAACCUAGCUAAAUAUGCAGCUAGAGAUUCACUUUCACUCAUACGGGUAUAUUCAAAAUCACGACGCAGACCUUGUAAUUUCACAGAUCGUACCUGUUUGUCCCUACACAUACUCUUGCUUCAGAAUAUCCCAAGCUUCUUUUGCAGUUUCCAAGGUUGCAAUGCGUGGAAAAAUUUGAUCCGAUACGGCUCCCUGAAUGAUUCCAAGAGCCCUUGCAUCCUUGACCAGAUUUUCACUCCGCAACUUCGUUUCCACCUCAGUGAGUUCUCCUUCCCCUUUCGCUGAAGUGGUAAAACCUUUUUCAACAAUAUUCCAUAACUCGUGAGAUCGGAAGAUUGUUUUCAUUCGAAUCUACCAGAAAUCGAAAUUUUCUCCGUUGAACACCGGAGCUCGAAGCUCCCCUCCACCAGAUCCAGCCAUGUUAGACUUAGAUCACACCUCUCUCUACUAUUUUCUUUGCAACGAUGUGUUGCAAACACUUGCUCACUAUCUCUCACAGAAUCGACGCCCAGAGAUUCAGACCCAACAAGGCUCUGAGGCCAUGUUAGAAUAAGAAGAAAAUGUAGUACAACAAUGGAGGAUAUGCUGCAAUGACUAGAGUGAGAGAGAGAGAAAGAAGAGAGCAGAGAAUAUGACACUGCAAUUCUUUUCACACGCACUGUUUGAUUGCUCACUUAGUGAAAGAGGAACAUCUCUCUACACUUAACAGUUACACUUCCAAACUUUUGGCAGUAUUCAAAAUUACAUCCAAGUAAUCCUAGCCAUCCAUCUUACACCCUAUGAGAUGAAGACACAUGUACACUCACUUACUUAAGAACUAAGAGACUUAGAUAAGAAAGCAUACAACCAAUUUAGCUAAUCAUCCUAGCAAUAUAAGCUAGAAAUACAACUACCACAUCAGAUCACAAUUUACACACUAACAAUAAUUACAAGUUUUACACAAGUGACCAUUUAUUACAAUGGUGGAAAGGUGUUAAAAGCUUUUGCAUGACGGUGUGAGUUCGAACCUCGUCGGUUGUUAAUCUACAAACCCCGUCGGUAGUUAAUCUAACUUCUAAUCUAAUAAAAUCUAUUUUUUGACCAAAAAAAAAUAAUUACAAGUUUUACUAAAAAUUUAGGGGUGUGAUAUCUACACACCCCUUUUUACUUCUCUCACAUCUUUUUGAUUUUCGACCGUCGGAUCGGAUGAAUUGAAGAAGAUCAACGGACAGAAAUUAAUAAGGAUGUGUGAGAAGUAAAAAAAGGUGUGUAGAUAGCACACCUCAAAAUUUACCGGAAGACUUGAUCACCCAUUUGUAUGCUGACAACGGUGACUAGAUUCACAACCUCUUUCCCACGUAAAUCACAUCAUCCAAUUUUAUUUUUCUUACAACAUAUCACGUAUCUGUCAUAUGUAAGACUUUUUUGGAAUAUGGAGCGUGAAAUUGCAGCGGAAGCAUCCUAGAUUUUUGAUCGAAUAUUGAGUUUGGUUUCAUGACAGACUUCCUGGAUCAAACACACCCUAAAAAAAUAUAUAAAAAACCAAUAAGGUCAUGGUGAUACGACAUCAUUUUAAGAGGAAAGGUAAAAACAAUCUAGUUUCUAUACUAGGAAGAUUCACUCGAACAAAUUCUUGGAAACUAUGACUCAAACAAAAUUCUAGGAAUUCAGUAUUUUUAACAAAUGAUAAACGUUUAAGAUAUAUUCUUUAUAAUAUUAGAGAAAUCGAACGGUUGAUCUAUAACUCGCAAAGUGGUUGUAGCUCAAGUAAUUUUACUCCCCAAUUUUACAUAAAACAUAAAAUAAAAACAAAUCCUAAUUUACAUGGUAAUUUUUUUUCAUAGCUAGGGACAACUUCGACUAUGGUAAUGCAAUUAAUAUACACUAGUUUUGGAUGGAGAAGUUUCAAGAUUGAGCAUGGGAUGGGGAGGGGCGAGAGACUUGGAUGGAGAGUGAGGUUUUAUGAGUUAAACAGUGAUGCAAGGAUGUAUUACUUAAAACUUUAGAGACCGUAUGUUGGGCUAUAUAUAAUUGUUUAACUCAUAAACGUUUUGAGUGUUUCUAACAUAUGCUUAUCAAAAGCCUUCUCGUUCUAUCAAACAAUACGAAAAUUUUCAAUUGAAUGCAAGACAUACUAUUUUAUAUAUCACAGUACUUCAUGGAUCAUCAUCAUCACAUAUCCUUAAUUCAAAGGUAAUAAAUGAGCAUCUAGUUUUAUUUUUAUUUUAUUUUAUAUAGGGACUACAGAAGCAAGCACCCUUUGUAAAUUAAACUCUAAAACUUCUCAAGUAUCUUGAAAGGUGCCAAAAGCCAUCAGCCAACUCCAGUUGAUGCAUAACCUCCUACAUUUACAAAAACAGCGUCGCCGUUAAUUUAUUGACUUCUUCCCAGGACACAUACCAAUUUGCGAAAGUGGUUUGACUGAUGCUAAUUAGUCGAGUAAAGUACAGUCUUUUCAAUUAAGCAGAUGCAAAACACUUAGUUGAGGCACUACAAAUAUGAUUUUUACCUUUAAUUAACGCGCUUCAAAAUCUGAACUGGACAUGUAGUUUGCUGAAGCAACAGUUUCAAGUUGCUGAUUCCCACUUAUACCAGCCUCCACCGUCCUCCUUCCAACAAAAAAUGCUGGCUUUGUUGGUGAUGCUAAUCGAAAGCUUUCAUUUGUCAACAUAGAUAUGACAUCUGACAUGGUAGGGCGAUCUGCUGCAUUUUCUUCUACGCAAAGCAGACCGACAUGGAUGCAUCUUAACAGUUGCUCUUUAAUAAACGAAUUUCCUAAUGUUGGAUCCGUUAAUUCUAGCCCUGCACCUUUUUUCCAUAACUCCCAUGCCUGAAGAACAAGGAUUGCAUUUCAUUCUAAAGAAGAAAAAAUAUGAUUAUAAAUUUUAAGAGAGAGAUUUGUUUGUCAUACAUAUCCUACUAAAUUGAGUGCGCGAUCGUCAUUGUAAAAGCUGUUGUUUUUCCUUCCACUUAUGAUUUCAAGCAUCAAUACCCCGAAACUGUAGACAUCAGACUUUACAGAAAUAAUUCCCCCCACGGACUCUGGAGGCAUGUAACCACUGCACGAAAUGAAAAAGAAAAUUAGUCAGUAUACUUAUCUGGAAAAAUGCGUGUUUAGCAGUCAAAAGGGGAGGACCACGUCAAUGUGAUGCAGAAAUACUUACAGUGUCCCCACAACCUUUCUAGUGUUUGCUUCCAAUUCAUUUUGGGUGAAAAUCCUUGCCAUACCAAAAUCUGAAAUUUUUGGGUUCAUGUUUUCAUCAAGUAGUAUGUUACUAGCUUUUACAUCUCUAUGAAUUACUUUCUUUCUUGAGUAUUUGUGCAGAUAAAGCAACCCUUGAGCAAUUCCUUCGAGAAUGCUAAAACGCUUCUUCCAAUCUAGUAGUAGACCUCUGAUUGGAUCUGUCCAAUAUGUAGAGUUAAGUAGGACUAAUAUUAAUUAAUAGUAGUACUCUAUGAACUUUGACAGUAAAAUAAAAAUCAGAUAGUAAAUUUAACAAAUGAAAUCAAGUAUCUUGGUUCCUCACCAAAUAAAAAGUGGUCCAAACUUUUGUUCUGCAGAUACUCAUAUAUCAACAUCAUUUCUUCACCAUGAAUGCAAAAUCCGAAAAGGUGAACCAGGUUUGUAUGUUGGAGUUCAUAUAUAAGUAUCAGUUCAUUCUUGAAUUCUGAUGUUCCUUGCCCUGAACAUUUCGAAAGCCUCUUCACAGCUAUUUCUUGUCCCGCCGCCAAUUUCCCCUGAAUUGAUAAUCCAUAUCAUGUUUUUGCUGUCAUCUUUAGGCAAAUGAAGCUAAUUCCUUUUUUUUUUCUUACAGCUUUUGAAUUAGAACUUGGGAGCAGCCUCUCCAUAAAUGGGGGUAAGGCUAGCCGACAUUCACCUCUCCCAGACCCUGCGUAAAGCGGGAGCCUUGUGCACUGGGUACGACAGCUUUUGAAUUAGAAGCAGAAAUUUUUUUUUUUCAAAAUGUUACCUUAAACCGGUCCAAACCCUCCUUGUCCUAGCUUGUUUUCUUCAGCAAAGUUGCUUGUGGCAGCCACGAUGGAUGAAUAGCUAAAAACGCUAAAAUCAUGAUGUCGCUUAGAUUUCAUGAAGAUAAUCAUUUCGUUCUCAAUCGUUGUCCGGUUCUCACCUAUACAGAUCAAUUAUAAGAAAUUAAAGUUUCAAUGGAGACAACAAUUGUCAAAGAUGUGAUUAAUAAUCCUGUCUUAUGUUGGAUUAUGUGGCCAAGUGGCCAUAUACUUUAGAUUAAACAAACCAAAGGUGGACAACACCUUUCCUUGUUUUGGGGAGGAAAAUAGGGAAAAGGUUUUUUGUCUUGGUCCAUGGGAAGUCACGGUUGAGGUUUUGAAUAAUAAGUUUUGGUUGUAAUGAGAAGUAAGAGUGGGAUAGAAGAGAAGAAAAUAGAGUGCAGAAAAUUGAGAGAGCCGAAGAGAAGAGAGGGAGAGAAAGAAGGUACUGCUACAGUACCAUUUUCAGAGAAGGGGUUGUUGUUCCUUUCAUUGGAUAAUUCUCACUCCAUCAAAGUGUUAUUGUUGUAAUAGCUUUGAGCUUUGUAUAGAGAAGAAAUUAAUCACUAUAUUUCUUUCUCUAUUUGUUUCUUUGGAGUGUGAGUUAUUGGGUUAUUUGGGUUGUGAGAUUGCCAACACUUUGUAAACUCCCAUUUGGUUGAUAGUGGAUUCUUGGGUGAGCUCCUACUGCUCCGAGGACGUACUCUAGUUACACUGACUGUUGAGGAACCUCGUUAAAAUCUUGGUGUCUUUAAUAUUUUGUUCUUGCAUUUUAUUUGAUAUAUUUCCUGUGGGUUAGCUUGAGUUGGUUCCACAAGGGUUUGGUGCUAUCCUAGCACAACAAUUGGUAUCAGAGCACUGGUUGCUCUUGGGUACUGUCUAGUUGCCAAAAAUGUCAGACGGGCAAGAUGAAAAUCCUUUUGGAAGCAGCUCCGGGUUUGCAAGAACGACGGUGCAAAAUGCAAAGUUCGAAGUGGAAAAGUUUGAUGGCACACAAACAACUUCGGGAUGUGGCAAUGUGAGGUCAAAGAUGUGUUGGCUCAACAAGAUCUACUUGCCGCGUUGGGAGAGAAGCCGGAAACUAUGUCGAAGCCGGAAUGGGAAAAAUUAAAUUUGUGGGCUUGCUCUUCAAUUCGGUUGUGCCUUGCAAAAACUCAGAAGUAUUUUGUGAUGCGGGAGACGGUAGCAAGUGUGUGUUGUGGCAAAAAUUGGAAGACAAGUAUAUGACAAAGAGUGCAGAGAACCGACUACACUUGAAGAAAAAAGCUCUACCGCUUCCAAUACAAAGAAGGUACAAAAAUGAUUAGACACCUUGAUGCUUUUAAUAAGUUGAUUGCCGACUUGUUAAAUUUAGAUGAGGAUAUUAAGGAUGAAGAUAAGGCCUUAAUAUUGUUGAAUUCCUUGCCGGACUCUUAUGAGCAUUUUGUUACAACUAUUAUGCAUGGUAAAGAAACUGUGAAAUUUGAAGAUGUGUCAAAUGCCUUGAUGAAUUAUGAAAUGAGGCAUAGAGAUAAAAAUCAUGAUAGUACCUCUGAAGCUUUAUUUGUUAGAGGUAGAUCAUCGGAGAGGAGGUCAUCUUCUAGCAGGAAAAAAUCACAGUCUCGACCUAGAGGAAACUCUAAAGGUAGAAAACCUUUGGAAAGGGAUGAAUGUGCCUUUUGUCGUAAUAAGGGCCAUUGGAAGAAAGAUUGUCCCAAAUUGAAGACCAAAGGAAAAGAAAGUUCUGAAGCUAAUGUUGCUGAGGUUGAAACAGAUUUUUCUGAUUUUGCUUUAACCACUUCCUCAUCAUUUGAUUGUGCUACUAAGUGGGUGUUGGAUACGGGUUGUACUCAUCAUAUGACUCCUCACAAGGAUUGGUUUUCAAGCUUGAAAGAGUUUUGAUGGUGGCGUUGUGUUCAUGGGAGAUGACAAUCCUUGCACAACAAAAGGGAUUGGUACAGUUCGUUUGAAGUUGCAUGAUGGCAUGGUUAAAGAGUUGACAGGUGUUCGGUAUGUACCGAAUUUGAAGAAAAAUCUUAUUUCUUUGGGUACUUUGGAAUCUAAGGGUUUCAGGUUUCAUUCAGAUGGACAGACAUUGAAAGUUACUUAUGGUGCACUUGUUGUGAUGAAAGCUCCUAGAUGUGGCCAUUUGUAUUUAUUGCAGGGAAGCACUGUGACAGGUGAAGCAUCUGUAGUCUCUGAAAAUAUGGGCACAUCUGAUUCAGAUACUACUAGAUUGUGGCAUAUGAGAUUAGGCCAUGCCGGUGAGAAAGCUCUACAAGGGCUUGUGAAAAAAUGUCUUCUAAAAGGUGCCACGACUUGUAAGCUUGAUUUCUGCGAGCAUUGUGUCUUGGGAAAGCAAACUAGAGUGAAGUUUGGUACUGCUGUACAUCAGACGAAGGGCAUUCUUGAUUAUGUGCAUUCGGAUGUUUGGGGUCCUACAAAGACUCCCCUCUUUGAGUGGUAGACAUUGGUUCGUGACCUUUGUUGAUGAUUAUUCAAGAAGGUCUUGGGUCUACACUAUGAAGCAUAAGAGUGAGGUGUUAAGCAUUUUCUUGGGUUGGAAGAAAAUGGUUGAGAACCAGACUGGGAGAAAGAUUAAGAUUUUGAGAUCGGAUAAUGGUGGUGAAUACACAUCCGAUCCUUUCUUUAAAGUUUGCAAAGAGGAAGGAAUUGUGAGACAUUUCAGUGUUCGGGGAACUCCACAACAAAAAUGGAGUUGCAGAAAGAUUGAAUCGAACCUUGCUUGAGAAAGGUUAGAUGUAUGUUGUCUCAGUCGGGUUUAAGCAAGUCAUUUUGGGCAGAAGCAGUUAAUUAUGCAUGUCACAUCAUCAACCGGUUACCCUCAGCUGCUAUUCAGGGUAAGACACCAAUGGAGGUAUGGACUGGAAAACCUUCUUCUGAUUAUGAUCAUAUUCGUAUUUUUGGUUCACCUGCUUAUUUUCAUGUAACUGAAAAUAAACUUGAUCCUAGAGCCAAAAAGGCUAUCUUUCUUGGUUUUAGUAGUGGUGUCAAAGGUUACAGGUUGUGGUGUCCAGAGAUGAAGAAACUGGUAAUUAGUAGAGAUGUGACAUUUGACGAAGAAAGUAUGUACAAAGUCUCUGAGAAGAAUGUGAAAGAUGUCCAACAGGUGGAGCUUGAGAAAGUUGCUUCUGGUACUUCAAAUCCUAUUUCCGCUGAUGUCGAAGCCACUACAAGUGAAGAAGUUGGAGACCAUGAGGAUGUUGAAGAAGUUGAACUUGAAGAUUCUAUUCAAGUUGAAGAGCAAGUUUCACCUCAAGAGUCUAUUGCCAAGAACAGAGGAAAGAGACAAAUUACUAAGCCAGCUCGGUAUAGUGAUUAUGUUGCUUUUUGCUCUUCCUAUUAUCACUGAAGAGAUUCCAUCCAAUUUUGAGGAAGCUAUUGAGAGUGAGGAGAAGAAUAGGUGGUGCAAUGCCAUGGGUGAUGAGAUGAAUUCUCUCUUGAAGAACAAGACUUGGGAGUUAGCUAAAUUGCCUAAGGGCAAGAAAGCUAUUGGUUGCAAAUGGGUGUAUGCCAAGAAGGAAGAUGCUGAUGAGAAAAGCAAUGUGAGAUUUAAAGCAAGAUUAGUUGCUAAAGGGUAUGCACAAAAGGAGGGCAUUGACUACAAUGAAAUCUUUUCUCCGGUUGUGAAGCACUCCUCAAUUCGCAUUAUGUUAGCUCUUGUUGCACAGUAUGAUCUUGAGCUUGUGCAACUUGAUGUAAAAACGGCUUUCCUACAUGGUGAUUUGAAUGAAGAGAUUUAUAUGUGUCAACCAGAUGGGUAUAUAGUGAAAGGGAAGGAGAAUUUGUUUUGCAAAUUGAAGAAAUCACUUUAUGGUUUGAAGCAAUCUCCAAGGCAAUGGUAUUUGAGGUUUGAUAAAUUUAUGAGAGGCCAAAAUUAUUCUAGAAGUCAAUAUGAUCAUUGUGUGUACUUCAAGAAGUUGCAAGAUGGGUCUUUCAUUUAUUUAUUGAUAUAUGUUGAUGAUAUGUUGAUUGCCUCAAAGAAUGUCGAAGAGAUUGAGAAAUUGAAGAAGCAAAUGAAGAAUGAGUUUGAGAUGAAGGAUCUUGGUGAAGCGAAGAAGAUCCUUGGCAUGGAGAUCACUAGAGAUAGAGCAAAGGGUUUCGUCAGUUUGAAUCAAAAACAAUACCUUGAGAAGUUGAUUCGGAAGUUUGGAGUUCAUGAUUCAACCAAACCGGUUAGUACCCCUUUGGCUCCUCAUUUUAAAUUGAGUUCUCUACAAUGUCCUAAAAUCGAUAAAGAGAAACUGCAAAUGAAAAAUAUACCAUAUGCAAAUUUGGUUGGUAGUUUGAUGUAUGCAAUGGUAUGCUCUAGACCGGAUAUUGCUCAUGCAGUUGGCAUGGUGAGUCGAUAUAUGCAUAAUCCAAGUAAAGAGCAUUGGCAAGCAGCUAAGUGGAUAUUGAGGUAUCUCCAUGGUACUCGAGAUGUUGGUUUAUGCUUUGAGAGGGAUGACUCUGGUAUUGGUCAUUUUGCAGUUGGUUAUGUUGAUUCAGAUUAUGCAGGUGAUCUGGAUGGAAGGAAGUCUACUACAGGCUAUGUGUUUACUAUGGCUAAAGGGCCAGUUUGUUGGAGGUCCAUUUUGCAGUCGUCUGUUGCCUUGUCUACUACAGAGGCUGAAUAUAUGGCAGUUGCUGAAGCUAUAAAGGAGGCCAUUUGGAUACAUGGGCUUAUUAGAGAUUUGGGGGUUGAUCAGAAGCAGGUGGAGGUACAUUGUGAUAGUCAGAGUGCCAUUUAUUUGGCUAAGUAUCAGGUUCAUCAUGCGAGGACCAAGCACAUAGAUGUGCGUUAUCACUUUGUUCGUGAAAUUGUUGGUGAAGGGGAAAUCAUUCUCCAGAAGAUUCCAACUAAAGACAACCCCGCUGAUAUGUUGACUAAGGUUGUUGGUGUAGCCAAGUUUGUUCACUGUUUGAACUUGGCUCACAUUUUGCCUAUAUAAAGAAGGCGUUGAGUAGUAGGAGUUUUGGAGCAUUUGGCUCAGCAUGAGUUGUUCUCUUGCUAGUGUUUGGGAGUGAUGUUGUGUGCUAAUUGUGUUGGUUGGCUUAUCAUGGCGUUUUCGGAACUUGGCCAAGGUGGAGAUUGUUGGAUUAUGUGGCCAAGUGGCCAUAUACUUUAGAUUAAACAAACCAAAGGUGGACAACACCUUUCCUUGUUUUGGGGAGGAAAAUAGGGAAAAGGUUUUUUGUCUUGGUCCAUGGGAAGUCACGGUUGAGGUUUUGAAUAAUAAGUUUUGGUUGUAAUGAGAAGUAAGAGUGGGAUAGAAGAGAAGAAAAUAGAGUGCAGAAAAUUGAGAGAGCCGAAGAGAAGAGAGGGAGAGAAAGAAGGUACUGCUACAGUACCAUUUUCAGAGAAGGGGUUGUUGUUCCUUUCAUUGGAUAAUUCUCACUCCAUCAAAGUGUUAUUGUUGUAAUAGCUUUGAGCUUUGUAUAGAGAAGAAAUUAAUCACUAUAUUUCUUUCUCUAUUUGUUUCUUUGGAGUGUGAGUUAUUGGGUUAUUUGGGUUGUGAGAUUGCCAACACUUUGUAACUCCCAUUUGGUUGAUAGUGGAUUCUUGGGUGAGCUCCUACUGCUCCGAGGACGUACUCCAGUUACACUGACUGUUGAGGAACCUCGUUAAAAUCUUGGUGUCUUUAAUAUUUUGUUCUUGCAUUUUAUUUGAUAUAUUUCCUGUGGGUUAGCUUGAGUUGGUUCCACAAGGGUUUGGUGCUAUCCUAGCACAACAUCUUACUGGUGCACAUGAUUUAAAGAAAUAUACCAGCUGAUGCAAGGGCUGAUCUUCUUCGUUGGAGUAGAUAGUACGCGGUGCAAAGCACUAGAGCAGCAGCUAUAGAAAUGCCAAUCCAAACCCAUUUAUCUGCUGCAUCAUAAACAAUUAGCUAGCAACAUAUGCAAUCAGCGUAACACACACGCACAUGUACGCAUUAAUUGUCUUCAAUUUUUGGAUGAACUAGGUCUUGCAGGUUUCUUCCAGAAAACGAAGAAAAAUCCGAGACAGAGAGCAGAACUUAAGACAACAAUAACAAAGAUAGAGGUACCUAAUAAUACUGAUUCCACGCGUGUCACAGAUUUCCGGCUUAAAUCGGGUUUGCAGCCUCGGUAUAUAUCCUUCGGAUCAAGAAAAGAAAACCCUUUUGGGCAUUCGCAGGUUGGCCUUUUAUCUGGUUUGAGCUUACAGGUACUGUUGUAACCGCAAACACCAACGCCCAGUCGUAGGCAAAUAUCAUCCGGCAUAUACACCAGAGGACUAAUCCAGCUUGCAUUUCCAGUGAAGUAUUUCGGGUGAGAAUAUAAAGCGAAAAUCCCAUCAAAAUCAAGAGUUGCCCUUAUGUAGUUGUCCCUCACCGACACUCCCUCUGUCCCCUUAAGAGGGACUCUUCCAUCAUUUUCUCUCAGAACAGACAUGUCCCCUGAGCUGCUGAACACCAAUUCUUUGCCUUGACUACCUGGCACGUUCCCUGCGGUGGUCUUCGUGGAGAAGUAAGCUUUCUUGGCCUUAUCUGUUGUCAAGUUGACGGAAAUGAGCACGAGGUUUCCAUCAUCUUGCAAGCGCAGCUGGAACCGCCCUUUUGUGUAGUUAGUCUCCGAUUGUCUACACGAAAGCUUCCCAUUUCUCUCAAUUGUCUGUCCAGGCAAAACGGUGUCUGUAGGAUUGCUGAAGGUCUCCCACAAGCUCCCCGAGUUUUGGUGUUGAAGGACAAAGUUUCCGGUGUCAUUCAUGACCCCGUUCGCAACAGUCCCCAAGGUUAUUUCGGAUUUCCAUAUCUCUCCACCCUGAGGAUUGUUAAGAACUAGUCCACUGUUGGCAGUCAAGUUCAGAACUGAUCCCCUAGGUGCAACCAUGGGGUUGUUACCGUCGUAUGCAUACCAAACCACGGUUUUGUCUGGGAUAUUCGCAUACCAUAUCGAAAGCAAGAAAAGAUCAUUGUUUCCGAGGGGCGAAAAUCCAAACUCGAAAUCACCGGAUGGAGAAAGCCAUGAUGAGGAGUCGCCUAUAGUUGCAGUUAGAGAACUCCCAACUGCUACUCUUCCAUUAUUUUGGGAAAUCACAGAAAUUGGUAGCAAAAACAAAGAGAACAAAAGCAUCUCUACAGAAAGAGCCACUGCCAUUGCAAAAGCACCAAUUUUUCAACUUGGCUUAACUGAUUAGCUAUAUUUCUUAGUAAAGCAUUGGUCCUUGUUUAUAUCUUCAAGUAAAUGUGUGUGCAUGUGCCUGUCAUUUUCUAAGUUUUUGCCUGGAAUCAUUUUUUGAAGUCAAUGUUACCCAUCAGCCACGAUAUGACCUCAGACCUCGCUACAUCACACACAAUAAUAUCUCCGGGCCUACAGAAUAAUUUCUCCAAACCUACACAUAUCACAAGAAUUUCACUUUGAAAAAAAUAAUAUAAUGAACAGUUUUAUAUAUAAGACACCGAUACCGAUACUUUUUGUGAUAGAACUUAUUGUCUCUCUCAAUUCCUUGUAAUGUUGCAAGUUGGAGCAAUAUUGAUGUAAUUAGUAAUGGCCCGCUAACUUGCCUCUCUCAAAUCUCUUUUCAUCCUACUCUCGUCCCUCGUCCGUUUUAUGAUUCUACUUAAUUAAGCACUUAUAAGUGUUCCAAAUCAAACUUGUAACUUAAAUAAUUAAAAAUAUUUAUCACUACACUGGGGAUUCUAGGUUCCAAAAUAUAAUAUAUAAUAUAUAUGAAUGUUCCAAACCAAAAGGACAAGUAAAUACGAGCAUGACUCACGCUGCAUGUGUCGGCCAUUCAAGUCCACAAGUCAAAAUUCAACAAUGGGGCCCACAAAGAAAAUUUGAAAAAGUACAUGCAGAUUGAGGACGUAUACAAAGAAUCUGAAAACAAACCUCCAGGACCAAACAAAGACGACUAAGUCUCCAUUUCUGUAUUCACACAAACCAAAGUACUAACUGAAGUUUUUAAUGUAUGAUUACGUCAUUGGGGUAAAACACCCGAGGCCGAGUUGAGAUAAUCACAGGGUUGGGGAAUCGAGAUCCUCUCCGAAUGUCACAGUCUGGCACAAACGAACGUAGAGAUCCGAACCACUUAUUUUAAAUUCUACGGUCUUCAUUAGCCUAUCCUAUUGGCCCACAUCACACAAGGGGCCCAAAUCUUUCUCUCCCCUCUCUUGAACGGUUUGGAUAUCUCGGUCUGUCGAUUUUGGAUUGGGAGAUUCAAAGAGAAUUUGAUUUCGGGUUUGAGGUGUGGUUCGCCGACCAUUUGAAGCUCGUUGAGGCGUGGCCCAUCUCAUCCACGUCGGGAUAGCCAUUUCGUACCAAGUUGGAUCCCAGGUCAGGCCAGUCAUUUCAUUAGCCUAAGAUAGACCUGACAGACGAGGCGCUUGGAUAUUGCCUACCGCGACCAAAUGGACCCAUGGGCUCAUUAGAUGAUGAGUCUGGACCCUGGGGUGUGUAAAGCCCACCUCAGCUCGAUCCAUAUUCGGUCGAUACUUAAGGGAAGGUGGAUAUGGGGUAAAGGUAGAGUAAGCUCCAAGCCAUGUGGAGGUCAGUCGAGAUUGAACACACAUUCAUAGAAUCAUAGUAUGAAAUUCAAGUCCAAAUUUUAACACUACGAAACCGAAAAGCAUGCAACUCCGAAGAGCAUUGUUUCAGUCCAACAACCUAAACUUCCUUAAAAAACUAAGACAAAAACGACGACACUAGUAAACGGAAAAACAUGCAACUCAGAAAACCAUUGCUCUAGUCUAAAUGAGGUUCCUCAAUGCCUCAAGCUUUUCUAAACACCAUAGCCUGAACCUUUUCCUUUGCGCCUUCUUUGCUUCACCAGAAACGUUCUUAAUGAGCUUCCUUCAAAUUUGGGACGAGCAGGCAUUAGGCUGUGCACAAUGCUGUAAAUGCCCCUAGCCCUUGCCACACCCUAGGUGCGUACGCUUGCAUGUCCGACCUGAGUUAUCUCAUUACGCG
This 37003-nucleotide long non-coding RNA is filed under the name Malus domestica (apple). Its description in RNAcentral is "long non-coding RNA (MDOM_LNC005217)". Lineage: Eukaryota; Viridiplantae; Streptophyta; Magnoliopsida; Rosales; Rosaceae. The record is from RNAcentral.